CACGUAGGGGGCAAGCGUUGUCCGGAUUUAUUGGGCGUAAAGAGCUCGUAGGCGGUUCGCUAAGUCGGGUGUGAAACCUCCAGGCUCAACCUGGAGACGCCACCUGAUACUGGUGUGACUCGAGUCCGGUAGGGGAGCGUGGAAUUCCUGGUGUAGCGGUGAAAUGCGCAGAUAUCAGGAGGAACACCGGUGGCGAAGGCGGGUCUCUGGGCCGUAACUGACACUGAGGCGCGAAAGCGUGGGGAGCGAACAGG
Molecule: ribosomal RNA, 254 nt
Filed under: uncultured bacterium
Lineage: Bacteria
Description: partial 16S ribosomal RNA
Rfam family: Bacterial small subunit ribosomal RNA
Source: RNAcentral